GCUAAAAAUCCAGCCCAUUUUAACCGUAUGAAUCUACCCACUUUAUUUUAUAAACUAAAACAUUCUAACAUUAUAGUAAAGGAGAUUGAAAAAAUAAUUGGAGCUAUAAAAAUAGUACCGCAAGGGAAAUAUGAAAUAAAAAUGAAACAAACCUCAAGCAUAAAAAAGUAGAGCUCCCCCCUCGUACCUUUUGCAUCAUGGUUUAACUAGUCUAAUCAAGCAUAAAGCAUUAUAGUUUGACCCCCCGAAAUUAAGCGAGCUACUUCAGGGCAACUUUAAGAGCUAACCCGUCUCUGUUGCAAAAGAGUGGGAUGACCCUCAAGUAGGGGUGACAGACCUAACGAGCUUAGUGAUAGCUGGUUACUCAAGAAAAGGAUUUUAGUUCAACCUAAAGCUUCUCCCUUACAAUAAAAAGAUUUUUUAAGCUUUAGAGUAAUUCAAAUAAGGUACAGCCUAUUUGAAACAGGAUACAACCUCAACUGACGGGUACCAUAAGUUUUGUUUAUUUAACUAAGUAGGCCUAAAAGCAGCCACCUUUUAAAAAGCGUCAAAGAUUUAUUGAAAACUUAAACUAAUUUCUCUCCCCCCCUCUAACCCUCUAUUAAUAUUGAGUAAUUCUAUACUUCUAUAGAACCUAUUAUGUUUAAACUAGUAACAAGAAGCUAAACCUUCUCUUAGGUGUAUAUGUAAAUCAGACAGGACAGACCACUGAUAAUUAACGUUUAUGAGCCCACAUUAGUAACCUUUCAAGAAAAUUCUAAUUAUCCCCACGUUAACCUAAUACAAGAACACCACAAGAAAGAUUAAAAGAAAAAGAAGGAACUCGGCAAAUUUUAACCCCGCCUGUUUACCAAAAACAUCGCCUCUUGAGUAAAAAUAAGAGGUCUAGCCUGCCCAGUGACAACAAUUCAACGGCCGCGGUAUCCUAACCGUGCGAAGGUAGCGUAAUCACUUGUUCUUUAAAUGAGGACUAGUAUGAAUGGCAUCACGAGGGUUAUACUGUCUCCUUUUUUCAAUCAGUGAAACUAUUCUCCCCGUGAAGAAACGGGGAUAUUUUUAUAAGACGAGAAGACCCUAUGGAGCUUUAAAUUUUAUUUCAAUUGCUCUUUUUAUACCCUGUCCCGACUCCCUAAUUUCAAUUGAGCAUUAUGGUAAUAAAUUUUAGGUUGGGGUGACCGCGGAGCAUAAAAAAACCCCCGCAUAGAACAGGCCCGAGCCUUGAACAUAGAGCUACAACUCCAAGUACUAAUAUAUUAACAUCCAUUGACCCAAUAUUUUUGAUCAACGAACCAAGUUACCCUAGGGAUAACAGCGCAAUCUACUUUGAGAGCUCCUAUCGACAAGUGGGUUUACGACCUCGAUGUUGGAUCAGGGUAUCCCAGUGGUGCAGCCGCUACUAAAGGUUCGUUUGUUCAACGAUUAAAACCUU
This 1429-nucleotide ribosomal RNA is filed under the name Ololygon catharinae (Catharina snouted treefrog). RNAcentral's name for it is "partial 16S large subunit ribosomal RNA". It matches the Rfam family "Bacterial large subunit ribosomal RNA", at positions 135 to 2597 of the family's 2925-position model. The record is from RNAcentral. Lineage: Eukaryota; Metazoa; Chordata; Amphibia; Anura; Hylidae.